RNAcentral lists this unclassified non-coding RNA (347 nucleotides) under soil metagenome. RNAcentral describes it as "partial contains 5.8S ribosomal RNA, internal transcribed spacer 2, and large subunit ribosomal RNA". The stretch from base 1 to 120 matches the Rfam family "5.8S ribosomal RNA", at positions 35 to 154 of the family's 154-position model. The record is from RNAcentral.
GAUGAAGAACGCAGUGAAAUGCGAUAAGUAAUGUGAAUUGCAGAAUUCAGUGAAUCAUCGAAUCUUUGAACGCACAUUGCGCCCGCUGGUAUUCCGGCGGGCAUGCCUGUUCGAGCGUCAUUUCAACCCUCAAGCCCCCCGGGUUUGGUGUUGGGGAUCGGCUCUGCCUCACGGCGGUGCCGCCCCCGAAAUACAUUGGCGGUCUCGCUGCAGCCUCCAUUGCGUAGUAGCUAACACCUCGCAACUGGAACGCGGCGCGGCCAUGCCGUAAAACCCCAACUUCUGAAUGUUGACCUCGGAUCAGGUAGGAAUACCCGCUGAACUUAAGCAUAUCAAUAAGCGGAGGA